CAAGUCGAGCGAACGGACGAGAAGCUUGCUUCUCUGAUGUUAGCGGCGGACGGGUGAGUAACACGUGGAUAACCUACCUAUAAGACUGGGAUAACUUCGGGAAACCGGAGCUAAUACCGGAUAAUAUUUUGAACCGCAUGGUUCAAAAGUGAAAGACGGUCUUGCUGUCACUUAUAGAUGGAUCCGCGCUGCAUUAGCUAGUUGGUAAGGUAACGGCUUACCAAGGCAACGAUGCAUAGCCGACCUGAGAGGGUGAUCGGCCACACUGGAACUGAGACACGGUCCAGACUCCUACGGGAGGCAGCAGUAGGGAAUCUUCCGCAAUGGGCGAAAGCCUGACGGAGCAACGCCGCGUGAGUGAUGAAGGUCUUCGGAUCGUAAAACUCUGUUAUUAGGGAAGAACAUAUGUGUAAGUAACUGUGCACAUCUUGACGGUACCUAAUCAGAAAGCCACGGCUAACUACGUGCCAGCAGCCGCGGUAAUACGUAGGUGGCAAGCGUUAUCCGGAAUUAUUGGGCGUAAAGCGCGCGUAGGCGGUUUUUUAAGUCUGAUGUGAAAGCCCACGGCUCAACCGUGGAGGGUCAUUGGAAACUGGAAAACUUGAGUGCAGAAGAGGAAAGUGGAAUUCCAUGUGUAGCGGUGAAAUGCGCAGAGAUAUGGAGGAACACCAGUGGCGAAGGCGACUUUCUGGUCUGUAACUGACGCUGAUGU
RNAcentral lists this ribosomal RNA (712 nucleotides) under uncultured Staphylococcus sp. RNAcentral describes it as "bacterial SSU rRNA". It matches the Rfam family "Bacterial small subunit ribosomal RNA", at positions 58 to 752 of the family's 1533-position model. Lineage: Bacteria; Bacillati; Bacillota; Bacilli; Caryophanales; Staphylococcaceae. The record is from RNAcentral.